This is a long non-coding RNA of Otolemur garnettii (small-eared galago), 6199 nucleotides long. RefSeq lists it as uncharacterized. The record is from RefSeq and is a predicted model, not a curated record. The transcript is spliced from 3 exons. NCBI's taxonomy places the organism in Eukaryota, Metazoa, Chordata, Mammalia, Primates, Galagidae.
CUAUACCAUCCCAUGUGCUCCCCUCCCACCAUCCCUGGCAAACUCCUACCUGCUUCCUUGACUAUAUAGAUCAAAGCUUAAAGGUAAAAUAAACUGAGCCAAGUCAAGAAACCCUCUUGAUAAGUUUCUAUCCUGCUAUAACAAAUCCCCACAAAUGUGGUGGCUUAAGAAAACAAAAACUUAUUCUUUUACAGUUCUACAGGCCAGAGUGUAAAACCAGCUUCACUGGACUACACUCCAGGUAUUAGCAGGGUUGCCCUUCUGGACACUAUGGGGAUCUGUUUCCUUGGCCUCUGUAGCUUCGAUAAGCUCUCUGCAGUCUCCAGCUUAGGGCUCCUUCUUCUGUCUUCAAAGUCACAUUCAUUAUCUCUGCUUUCAUCAUCACGUCGCCUUCUCUUCUCCAACUUCUCCAGCCCUCUUAUAACGACUCCUGAUUAUAUUGGGUCCAUUCAAAUAACACAGGAUAAUUUCCCCAUUUCAAAGUCCUUAAUCGCAUCUAUGAAGUCAAUUUUGCCAUGUAAACUAACAAAUUCACAAGUUACAGAGAUUAGAACGUGGACAUCUUUGGUGGGGUCACUAUUUGGUCCACUAGACCACCUUUCUGGGAAAGUAGUUCAUCCAUAUGUGGCCAAUGUAGGAAAAUCAAAGAUUUUCCUGGGAUUGCUAUUAGGAUGGGAGGAGAACUUAUAUUUGCUGGGAGUGGCUAAGCUUGAAGAAAAUGAGCCUGGGGCUCCUGGGAACUAUCUUUUCAGUUAUAGAGAGGAAGGUCUUCUGUCUCAAGCAGGAGGGAAUGAAACCAACUGACUGGGAACUGUAGCCCAUAACAUGGAGGCAAAGGGCUGUGAUGUCAAUAUUUGAAUACCUCUAGCCAGCUACACUUAAAAUCAAAUCUAUCUCUGAGUUUCCAGUACAUUCCAGUACUUCCAAGCCAGUACAUUUCCUUUCUACUUGAGCUACUUUGUGCUGAAUUUCUGCACUAAUGACUGUUCGUAUAUUUUUCUCAAACAGUAAGAAGGGGAAGGAAGUGAGAGGCACCUCAUUUAUUUUUCUGCUAUUUUAAGGUGUGUCAUAGACUAUUUUGAAUAUCACUGAGGUUGAAACCGUCAAAAUAAGACUUCACACAACACCAUUAGGUUUUGUUUGCCUAUGUCUACAUGCUAUCAAAUUACAACAGAGAAUCAGAAGCUAAUUAUAGUAUAUUUAAAAGAAAGAAUGUGACCGUAACUGGGGAAGUUAUUCAAAAUAAUGGACUUCUUGACUUUUUGCCCAUUUCUGAAAGAAAAUAAAAGGACUAUUUCUCCUUCACAAGAGGCCUAUGUCUAGAAUUGCAGGCACCCUUGCCUAGAGGGAGGCAGGUGGAUUGUAUUAGAAGCUCUUUUAACUUUCUGGCCUGGAAACCUUUAUUUUGCAAGUUUUCCCAUCAGGAAAUUAUCAUGGGCUUUUCCUGAGAGAACGUGGAAUAUGGAAGAUGGUGUUUAAAGAAGGGGAGCGUGGCCCAACCUCAAAGGAAGGGUGAACUAUAGUGACCACAGAGUGUUUCUAGAGGUGGAGAUCUUUCUUCUCCCCUUGAAUCUGCAUGGCCUUCUGGCUUAUUUUAACCAAUAGAGUGUGGGAGAAGUGCUGCCUGUUCAGUCCCAGAUCAUAAGAGGCCUGCAGCUUUUCUUUACUCCUUCUUGGAACACUGGCCACCCCGGAAGAAGAUUGGGCAGCACUGUCAGAUGGUAAGCGGCCACAUGGAGACAGGUCCUGGGGAGAGAGGCUGUCGGGGGAUUUCUUGCUCCAGAAGCUCUCCCAGCUGAAAGCAGUCACACGAAUGUCCCCACUCAACACCAUGAAGAAUGAAGAUGAGCCUCCCACCUAGUUCUGCCCAAAUUGAAAAAUCCUGAGUAAAUAAGUGGUUGUAUUUUAAAUUGUUAAAUUUGAGGUGAUUUGUUAUGCUAUUAAUGUAACUGAAACAAGUAGACUCCCUAAAAUCGGAAAUAAGGGAUUGGUGGUGGGUGGCGUGGUGACUAAGACCGUCAUCUUGCUUUGUCCUGGUGAUUUGCUUUCCCUCAGUGCAUCAUCCUGGAAGGAUCAGGACCUCUAAGUGGAGAACGCCGCGUGGUUGUUAAAAGACUAGGUGCCAAAUGCCAGUUACUGGGAAUGAUGGGAAGGUCUCCACGGCCACACUUGACAUGGAGUAUGGAGGAACUGGAUAGGUUGGAUCUUUGGGAAAAUUCUUUAACAGGACAUGUCACUUCUUUCUUUCUCUUUCUUACCUGUCUGGAAUCCAGAUGUCAUAAGAGAAACUUCAGGAGUCAUCUGGGACCAUGAAACAAUUUUGUGGAUGAAAGUCGUGCUCUAAAAAUGUCCGAACAGAAAGUUGGAAGGAUCCUGGAAUUAGAUGACUUUGUAGAACUGCUUUAUUUGGAACCCCAGUCUCACCUGUUAGAAGAACCCUUAUUCCUUUAAGCCACUUUGAGUCUGAGUUUCAUGGAACGGUAGAUAUUUCCUAACUCAUAUAUCCCACAAAAUGACCAAAAGUAUGUUUGCCACAGACCUUAGUGAGUUAUCGCGUGAACCAUAUUUCAUUUAAUUUAGGAUAGCAAAGAAAUCUAGUUUCCUCUACCUUUGUAUCAUGACGCAGAUCAUUUAGCAACAGGUCUUGCAUAAAUGCCCAUAGAGACAUUAUAGGCAAUUAGAUUCCUCUUACACACUGAAGAUGUGAUGGGGAAAGCUUGGGUGUUAAGUGAGUAUAAAUCCAGGAUUGACUCUCAGCUUUUCCGUGGACAAAUGACAAUCUCUCCACGCCUCAGUAACCCUCUGUGGAAAAAACAGCAGUAAUGCCACCUCGCUGAGUUUGGGGGACGAUCUACUGUGAUAGCUUACAAAGCACAAAUUACACUCUCUGAUGCAAAGGAGUGUUUAGUAAAUGAUGGUGUUUUAGACUGUGUGCAGUGGUAGAAGGGAAGAAUAAUACAGAAAAGGGAAAUUAGACGAGGGAGACGCCAGUUAGUACAGAGAAGAGAAGGCUUAGAUGGUGAGAUAAUGCGUUUCACGGUUCUGCUUUCUGCAGACCUUUGUCUUCCCCCAAGUGGAGUGGAGCAAGGAGACAGGUGUGUACUAUAUUAACAGUGAGUGAGUUGUACCAGUACAGCUACUUACCCCAAAUCCUGGCUCUUUGUCCAGGAUCUGAAAACCAAACUAAGACUUGUAAAGGAAAUAAACCAGUAAGAAUGAAGAAUACCCUAAUUCAGUGAGUGAUUUAGCAAAUAAUGAUCAAACACAGCCAGUGUUCCAAGCACUGGGAUAUAGUGGAGGACAAGAAAAGUCAAGACCCUGCCUUAGUGAAGCUUGGAGCAUAUAGCAGAGGCAGGUGGGUAGAGCAUCUGCGGUCAGGACUGCCUUGGAGGAAGGCAAAGCAGGUGAAGAGACAGACAGAGGGCAGGUGGGGUAUGUCCACAAUAAUGCUUACUUAAAUGCAAAUUGAAAGUGUAAAGACUAAAUGUUGCUUCAUUACUUUGUCUUCAAAUAAUCCAGGUUUUGUCUGAAGGGUCAUAGAGAGAGAGAUUCUGUCCAAUCAUUUUCUUCUCUAGAGAAAGAUAUGACAAAAUGGAUCCUGAAUACUAGUUCUAGCACCGAGCAUCCUUGGAUCAGUUGUAGCACUUCUCUAAGCUUCAAAGUGAGAGUUCAAUGUGAGAUAAUAUUCAUUGUAUGAAGUAUACAGAAAGACCAAGUUAAAAGAUGAAGCCUUGGAACAUCUUACCUGAAGGAAAUUUUGCUUUGGAGGGACAGAGACUUAACCCAGGUUACUAACUGUCCCUGGUCCAGAUGAAAAGGAAAGAGAAGGGGCUUAGUGUCUUUCGUUGCUUCCGUUUUGGAGACAUUACAUCCGCCUCAUUGAGAAACACUGGCCAAAGGCUGCCAGCCAAUAAAAGCCCUCUCCCCAGGGGAGGUGUCAGCCGUGGAGCAAGAGACCAAGAGGACUGAGGUCAUCAAGGACAGGAAGGAUGGGCCCUGCCCAAACGUAAAUGCUGUAUCCCCAGAUUGGAAUUCUGCCAACUGUGCGCUGUAAGAAGCUGAAAGGCAUGUUGGAAAAAACAGAUUCCAGAUCCAAAUACCUUUGGGGAAAACCUGGAGUAAGGAAAACAAAAUAGAUCUCUUCACUCCCGGGCAUCUUCGACUUUUUGUAUGUGCUCAUGUGCAUUGGACCGGCGGAUAAGGAUGUGUAAUGAACACCUCUGUUUUCAAUUUCCUUGUGCUGUUACACUUCCUCCGGGCAUAUUUAUUAACAUUCUGGCAACAGUGUUCUGUGGGAAAGACUAAUUUAGAUUAAUUUGAAAUCAACCAAUUUAUCUGAAUAUUUAGGGGAAACAACACUAACAAUGACCGUGUACUGUACAUGCCCACCUAGCACUGACUUUGGCCUCCCAAAAUGAAUACGGGAAAGCAAGGAACAUUUCAUAAGGUACUCCCAUCUCAAAAAUAUUGCUUUUGGUUUUUUGGCCCAGAAAGGAAAGGAAAAAUAGUUAAGCUAAUUUUCUCGUGGGCAAAGGUUCAUUGUUUCAUUCCGUUUGGGUCCCUGCGGCCUUUGCCAUGUUUGGUUAGGGCUUCUUCAGUGUGCACAGGCUCGCGUCUGCACAGGGGCCCCCAAAUCCUGGUUCCUAAUUAAAGAAAAGCCUCUUGAAAAGCACGUUUUGACCUGGCAAUUUAUGAUGUUACGUCUGAAGUUGUUUAUCAUAAUAAUAAAAAGUGGGGAUUCAUGUGCUUCUGAUUACUUUAUAAUUCUUGUUCUUGAAUGUUACAUUAAAAUUUAUUUAUGCUUAAAAUUCUGACUAUUUCUGUUUAAUCGACCGGUUUAUUUCAGCUUUGUGCUUGGCAGAUCUAGAGGUCUAACCAGUUUCUACAGCUAUGGACAAUUGUUCUUUCGUUUAAUUUCUAUGAGACCGGGUUUCAGUUUGUUGCUUUUGUUAAUAAAAAAGUACAGUGAUUCCUAUUUACAGAGUGUCUGCCAGGCGCAUCACCUUGCUUUAUCUUUUCAAAAGUCUUCUGCAGUAGAUGCAGUUGUUUUGCCCAUUUCACAGAUGGGGACUGGGGUUUACAGAAGUGAAAUAAUGCCUAAGGCCACUCAGCUGAUAUGCAACAGGGCCUAGAUGGGAGCCCAGGCCGUCUGCACUACUUUUAACUCGCAUAUCCAGUUAAGAGUAGAACUUGGAGACACAAUUCUUAAAAUCCAUCUGGUUCUUCAAGGUCUUUCCAGAGUCAUAAAUUUGUGGGAAUCCAAACAUGCUUUGUUUACUGUUCACAUGAAUGAAUGUAUAUUUGGGAACUCCCAGGGCUCUGUCAAUACCUAAAAGCCCACAAUGUACAAACCAUCCCAGGAGGGAAAGAUUAAAAGGAACACAGAGUUAGCUCAUCUUGUUUAAUUGGACCAGCAUGAGUAGCUGACUAAAACGGCAAAAGAGCAGUGCAGUUGUGGAUGUGGGACCACAGGGGCAAGAACGCAGCCUAUGUUCCUGGAUCUUUACUUGAAAGUGGAUGUCAUGCCUGGCACAAAGCCGUUCUUCUUGGGGACAUCAAAGAUACUUGACAACCAAGGCUAUGGUAAAGCAACAGCUACAGAAACACGAAGGACUCAGAUACCUAUAAACUGCCUUCAAAAUAUAUACCAGAAAUUAUGAUUUAUUGUUGAUGGCACCUGGGCAGAUGUGCCAAGAUUUAUGCUUUAUUUGAGAUCUGGAGGAGCAGAUGAUUACAAAUGAGGAUAAAGUACCUCUUUAAAUGCAGACGUAUUUUCACUUUCAUUGAGAUACAUUGUGGUUUUUGUUUUUUCUUCUUUCUGUUGUGCCGGCUUGAGAAAUACUCCAUCAUGUGAAACAGAUUAUGUUCUGUGUAAUCAUCUGAAAGUAUAUUAAAGCCACAUUGUGAUCUGGCAAUAGCAUCUUACUUACUUUGAGGGGAAAAUUACAGUGUAUGAUUUUAAUAAUAGAUCACUCAAGUAUUUGAGUUCCAGGAAGAUCAAAUGAGCUCCCCUGUCCUCUCUUCUUUCCCUCAACCCUUGCCCCAUUGAGCACAAACAUUUCCAAGAAACCUUUUCUUGAGCAGUCACCAAAGUUCCUAUGUGAGAUAAUAACAUGCCUGCAUCUGAGCCCUGUCUCCACGGGAGGCGGGCGUGCAGUCUCAUGGAGAUCCCACAUGCACAUCAAAUAUCUACCACGGA